GAUGAACGCUAGCGGCAGGCUUAAUACAUGCAAGUCGAGGGGCAGCACGGGUAGCAAUACCUGGUGGCGACCGGCAAACGGGUGCGGAACACGUACGCAACCUUCCCAUAACUGGUGAAUAGCCUUCCGAAAGGGAGAUUAAUACACCGUAACAUAACGAAAAGGCAUCUUUUUGUUAUUAUAGGCUUCGGCCGGUUUUGGAUGGGCGUGCGCCUGAUUAGGUAGUUGGCGGGGUAAAGGCCCACCAAGCCUGCGAUCAGUAACUGGUGUGAGAGCACGACCAGUCACACGGGCACUGAGACACGGUCCAGACUCCUACGGGAGGCAGCAGUGGGGAAUUUUUCGCAAUGGGGGAAACCCUGACGAAGCAACGCCGCGUGGAGGAUGAAGGUCUUCGGAUUGUAAACUCCUGUCGACCGGGACGAAUGCACUCGACCUAAUACGUCGAGCUGUUGACGGUACCGGUGGAGGAAGCCACGGCUAACUCUGUGCCAGCAGCCGCGGUAAGUGA
This 511-nucleotide ribosomal RNA is filed under the name uncultured bacterium. RNAcentral's name for it is "bacterial SSU rRNA". It matches the Rfam family "Bacterial small subunit ribosomal RNA", at positions 28 to 527 of the family's 1533-position model. The record is from RNAcentral.